This 253-nucleotide ribosomal RNA is filed under the name uncultured bacterium. RNAcentral's name for it is "partial 16S ribosomal RNA". It matches the Rfam family "Bacterial small subunit ribosomal RNA", at positions 524 to 776 of the family's 1533-position model. The record is from RNAcentral.
GACGAACCGAGCGAACGUUGUUCGGAAUCACUGGGCUUAAAGGGCGCGUAGGCGGUUGCUCAAGUCCGUGGUGAAAUCCUCCGGCUCAACCGGAGAACUGCCUCGGAUACUGGGCGUCUCGAGUGUGGUAGGGGUAUGCGGAACUAUCGGUGGAGCGGUGAAAUGCGUUGAUAUCGAUAGGAACUCCGGUGGCGAAGGCGGCAUACUGGACCACCACUGACGCUGAUGCGCGAAAGCCAGGGGAGCAAACGGG